This 963-nucleotide unclassified non-coding RNA is filed under the name Hevea brasiliensis (rubber tree). Lineage: Eukaryota; Viridiplantae; Streptophyta; Magnoliopsida; Malpighiales; Euphorbiaceae. The record is from RNAcentral.
AAAUCUGAAUCCAGUUAUUUUGCUGUGGAGAGCCAAGGCGAGGAAUAAACAGAUGCGGGAGGAGAAUGGUACGAUCGAAAAAGGCAGCAGUUGCCGCGUCGACGGCAACUGCAAAAGAGUAAAUCCAAUCAACGAGACCGGAGCCGGAGGAACAGGCUCCGGUGAAGGCGUAUCUUCAUCUCCGGCAUCUUCGUCGUUGUCAUCCAAGAAUCAAGGAAAAUCAUGCAAAGGAUGUCUAUAUUACUCGUCUACUUUCAAAUCCAAUUCUCGCAAUCCUCUCUGUAUCGGCCUUAGUAGUUCCCUUCCUCAAGUACCUCGAUAUAUUGUUGGGGAAUCCGAGAAGGAAGCUUCUAAAGAGGGUCGGAGCUUUACCGAUUUUAGAUAUGCUUGUGUCGGUUAUUCUGUUUACUUGGAUCAGAAAUCUCGAUCAACUGAAGCUCAAAAGGCACAAACAGAAUUGCCUGUCUGUGUUGGCCUUGAGGUUUUGGUGGAUAAAAGACCCACUUCAGCUGAUGCAACUCCUGGCCAUACUCCUGCUCAUAACAGAGAAGGUGGAAAUAAACCUCCACAGCCCCGAUCAAACAAACCAACUAACUCAGCUGGUGAUGAGUUCCUUACCAGGUUCUCCAGGAAUGCUAACUUGGUUGCGAUGGGGGUCGCCAAGAACUUGCGGAAAGUAGGGAGUCGAAUAAAAGAAAGUGUUGAUGACAUCUUUUAUGGACGCCCAAAAUAGGAUCCCUAAUCGUUAAAUAGAGAAAUGAAAUGAGCAUUGAGCUGAAUGUUGCUCCAACAAAUAAUAUCAUACUUUUGCUUCAUUCGUCUUGGAAUAGGUUAAAAGGAAACCUUGUAAUGUGUCUUUCAACAUUGCCAUUUGUAGUUUAGAAGCAUAAUUAGCUCUGACCAGGGGUGAGUUCUGUAAUCGUUUGUAUAAACUUGGUUAUCCUGUUGGUUGAGGAAAUGCAA